CUGACCUCAGGUGAUCCACCCACCUCGACCUCCCAAAGUGCUGGGAUUCCAGGCAUGAGCCCCUGUGCCCAGCUGACACAGCUCCUUCUGCAGAGCAAGCCAUGGGCCACAGCCAGGACCGACUCACCACUUUCCAGGAGAACCAAGCCCGCACUCACGUCCUCAGCAAGGAGGUCCAGCACCUCCGGGAGGAGAAGUCCAAGCAGUUCCUGGACUUGAUGGAGACUAUUGAUAAGCAGCGAGAAGAGAUGGCCAAGAGCAGCAGGGCGUCGGCAGCCCGUGUAGGGCAGCUUCAGGAAGCCCUGAAUGAGAGGCACUCCAUCAUCAACGCUCUCAAGGCCAAGCUGCAGAUGACAGAGGCUGCCCUGGCUCUGUCGGAGCAGAAGGCCCAGGACCUGGGGGAGCUCCUGGCCACAGCGGAGCAGGAGCAGCUGAGCCUGUCACAGAGGCAGGCCAAGGAGCUCAAGCUGGAGCAGCAGGAAGCUGCAGAGCGGGAGUCUAAACUCCUCAGAGACUUGUCUGCUGCCAAUGAAAAGAACCUGCUUCUGCAAAACCAGGUAGACGAGUUGGAGCGGAAGUUCAGGUGUCAGCAGGAGCAGCUGUUCCAGACCAGGCAGGAGAUGACCAGCAUGUCAGCUGAGCUGAAGAUGCGGGCCAUCCAGGCCGAGGAGCGCCUGGACAUGGAGAAGAGAAGAUGCAGACAGAGCCUGGAGGACUCAGAAAGCCUGCGCAUCAAGGAGGUACCCUCUUUGUUGGCCUCUAACGCGCCUCAGUCUCUGGUCUUGAUGUCACGCAGGUGUCCCCAAAGCACACACCUGGUGGGAGCUUCCCUUGCCAACCUUGGGUCACUGGGUGGCCGUAUUUUGCCAGCCUGAUCGGAUGUCAGACCCAGAACCUCCUAUUGGGGGCGGCGGGGGGACCCCGGUGAUGUCUGAGCCAUAGUACAGGCUGCCGUUGAAGAGACACCAAGGCCCACUUGUUCAGGGUGUGCAUGCUGCGGUAGUUUCCUGCUAGGCCAUCUGAGGCAGUGCUUUCUCAGAAUGAACAAGGUUCUCAAGAGACACCUGCCUUCCAGGGUGGGGAGUCCGUGAGGGGAAGGUAGGGAGGCCCCGCUCUCCACUCUGGCCCCACAAUCCCUGCCCCUGAGCAGGUGGAGCAUAUGACCCGUCACCUGGAGGAGAGUGAGAAGGCCAUGCAGGAGCGGGUGCAGAGGCUGGAGGCGGCGCGGCUGUCCCUGGAGGAGGUGAGUGCCCGCCAGGCAGGGCCAAGCUCUGCCUUAGCCCUGGGCUG
This 1290-nucleotide small RNA is filed under the name Pan troglodytes (chimpanzee). Its description in RNAcentral is "retained intron". The record is from RNAcentral. Lineage: Eukaryota; Metazoa; Chordata; Mammalia; Primates; Hominidae.